UCAGGUGAAAGGAUGGAACGU
Molecule: unclassified non-coding RNA, 21 nt
Filed under: Chlamydomonas reinhardtii
Lineage: Eukaryota; Viridiplantae; Chlorophyta; Chlorophyceae; Chlamydomonadales; Chlamydomonadaceae
Description: small RNA Cre_2510
Source: RNAcentral